This 4504-nucleotide long non-coding RNA is filed under the name Homo sapiens (human). RNAcentral describes it as "HSALNT0075086". Lineage: Eukaryota; Metazoa; Chordata; Mammalia; Primates; Hominidae. The record is from RNAcentral.
GAAUGACUUGACAGAGCAUGUAAAAUAUCCAGCAAUAUGAAGCCUCAGAGACUAAAGCAAUUGGAAGCUGAAGUAGAUGCUGAGGUUCAGAGACUAUAGCAUCACCUUUCAGUGAGGCAAACAAAUGGCUAGGUUAAAGAAUGUGUUUGCCAGCCUCCCUCCAACCAUGCAAGGUCACUGAACUGAAUUCUCGCCAGUGGUGUGCUGCUGAACGGUCAUACAUUCCAGAAAGUCUUCAAAGAAAAGGUUAGAUUAUGGAUGGAAUCGCUAGAGCACAGACAACCAUCUUAGACCAUGAGGUGGAGAAUAAAGAGGGAACCAGAUGGAAGUAGGCUGGUUCCUGAUGAGUCUACUCUUCCUGUGCUGGACUUCCUGCCUUUAACGUUUUUUUUAACAUAAAUAAAUUUUUCUUUAGCAGUUAUAUUCCAUUCUCCACCCAGCAACCAAAGUGAUGCUUUCAAAAUUUAAAUGAGAUUAUAUCUGUUCUUUGUUUAGACCCCUAAAUGAUUUCUAGUCUCACUCAGAGUAAAAUACAAAGUCUUCUGGCCCUUCAAGGCCCUUUGUGAUUUAGCCUCAUCUACUAACUCUCUCCCUCUUUCACUGUGUUCUCUUGAAAUACUAUUAACCUCAAAUAACCCUAUAGCUAACUCUGUCACUUAAUUCGUAUCCCCACUCAUUUAAAGCAUAAAGUGCAUUCUAUGAUCAUCCUACAAAAAAUUACGCUCCACAUAUUACUCUGUCCAGCAGUGCUCAAGUCACUUAUAUGGGUACAAAAUAUCAUAGUAUUUGCAUAUAACCUAUGCACAUAUGGCUGUUCACUUUAAAUCAUCUUUAGAUUACUUGCAAUACCUAAUGUUGUGUAAUAGUUGCCAAACUAUAUUUUUAAAUGUGUAUUGUUUUAAAUUGUUGUAUUAUUUUUUAUUGUUUUUCAAAAAUAUGUUUGAGCCACAUUUGGUUGAAUCCUGGGAUGCAGAACCUGGGGAUAUGGAGGACAGACUGUAUAAAUAUUAUGUAUAUUUAUGGGAAAAUACAUAUAUGUGCAUUUUUCCCUUGUCCUAUCAUUCAGUUGUAAGCUCCAUCAGGAUAAGGGCUUUGUGCAUAGUUUUUCAAUGUAUACCCAGCACUUAGGAUAAAAGUGACUAAAGCCUAGAAGUUAAUUUAUAAAUAUUUGUUGAACACAGAAAUAAAAGAUCUUUAUUAAGUUCACUCUAGCUCAUUAUAGAUUGUUACAAUAGCAAAAGUAAAAGCUGAUGUUUCCCUGUAGCCUACCUAGCUGAGAGGGUAAAAAAAAGUCUUGGCAGUGUGUAUACUCCCAAAGUCGGCUGAUACUCUUUUUAAAAGCUACUUAACCACUUCCCAAUCCCCAGACUUAUAUAACACAACCCCCUCAAUAACUAUGUAGUAAACUCAGUAACACUGGUUAGAUGGGGAAGAAACUGUGUCUGAAGAAGACAUGGAAAACAUCAGAGUAAAGCAUAGGUCAGAAAAAGGAGAAAACAGAGAAGAGUAGCAUCCUGGAGACUGGAAAGAAUCCCCUACGUCAGUGUGGCUGGGAAAGAUGCCACAACAUCACAGGAUAAAAAGUAAUGCAGAUCUAAAUGCACCACAAUUUAAAUAUCCUCUUCCUGUCUAUUCCUUUGGAAAGUCUUUAUUCACUCAACAAAUAUGACUUGAGCUUAAGGCAUUAGGGGUACAACGAACAAAAACCACAGACUCUGCAUACAACUUUUUGAGGGAAAAUCGAACAAGUGGGGCAUCACUACAUCCUAGGGUUUAUGGUAUCAUAUUUCAUUCCUUCUGAAGCUGAGUUAUAGAAAUAUAUACUCUGACUAGGUUAAGAGGUUUAUGUAAAAUAUUAAUGAGGUAAAUUUUGAUAAACUGAAUUUCUCAGAUAAAAAGAUACAAUAAAAUGUUUUUUUUUUUUAAUUUUAGCAAGGAAAUUGAAUUAGGAUAAAGUGACAGAUAAAAGAGUCUAUUUCAUUUAAAGGAGUAUUCAUUUGACUCUACACUAAAGCUUAGUCUACUUGGAAGAAAUGCAUUACAUUCAUACACAUUCACUAUUAUAUGAUUUUAAUAUAUUUUAAUAUAUUUAAUCAGUAAGAAAUUGCUCUUAAUCUCAGCCUGGACAGUAUCAUAAAAGUACAGUUAAAACCUAGCAUAGGCUGGGCGCGGUGGCUCACGCCUGUAAUCUCAGCACUUUGGGAGGCUGAGGGGGGUGGAUCAUGAGUUCAGGAGAUGGAGACCAUCCUGGCCAAAAUGGUGAGACCCUGUCUCCACUAAAAAUACAAAAAAUAGCUGGGUGUGGUGGUACAUGCCCUCAGGAGGCUGAGGCAGGAGAAUCACUUGAAUCAGGGAGUUGGAGGUUGCAGUGAGCCAAGAUUGUGCCACUGCACUCCAGCCUGGAGACAGAGCGAGACUCUCUCAAAACAAACAAACAAACAAAAAUAAAAAACAACUUAACACAUAUUAUAUAGAAAUAUUAUAUUUUAUAUUUUCAAAUCGAAGUCAGGAACUUGGCAUUUUCUUCAUUUCUGACAUACCUUUGCUUAGAACCCUUGGCUGAGGAAGUGGCUGAUUUGAGUUGUAUUUGAUCUCUCCUCACCAGCUGUGCAUUAUUGAUAGAAAGAGGAAAGGGAGGGACAGGUGGAUGGAGUGGAGGUUGUCUAUUCAUAUUUUAUAAGCCUUUCCUUGUGAGCCCUGCAGUUGUCAUCAGAGCACAGGCCCACAUGCAGUGUCCCUCACAGCCCAAGGACCACUGACACAGAACCAGGGUCAGGAUAUGCAGCAUGACAGAUUCUUUGAAGUCUGCAUUUUGGUGGCACUUAGACACAAAAUAUUUGGUCACUUUUGACCUCAAAUAACCCAUGAGGCCAUGGGCUAAACCACAUAUGAAUUGUCUAACAUCAUCAUGAAUCCUGUCUUUUGAAAAUCUCAAUUACUAUUUCUUAUAUCUGACUAAAUAGAGCUGUAAAGAAACCAGAGCACAGAACUGAAAUUUGGUAACACAGUGAAAGAGUACAAAUAGCUGGUCAUUACUUUCCUAUACUAAUUUAAUCAAUAGUUCCCUGUUGUAACAACCUAUGCAAAAGGACUUAAUCACAACUUCUAAAACAAACUAGAGAAAUAUAUGUAAUAUAUAAUAUAGAACUAGAAAAAAGCAGGAAUUUGAAUAAUGUGAUUUUUUUUUUUAAGCAUGGAUAUGUUCUAGUGCAAAGCAGACAGAAAGUCAAUCCCAGAAAACCUUUUUCUUACUAAGGUUUGCAAUGAUCAAAGUUUGGAUAAAAAACAAUUGAUCCAGGAUACAAUGUAGUUAAAAUAGGCAGUAAAUCAAACACAUGAAAUAGAGGUUUAUGUAGUUGCCAUAUAUGGAUUUAACUAAUAAAGAUAUUAGUUAAUAAUUGACUAGCAGGGUGAGUACUUAAAGGCUAUUACAUCAUAUUACUGUGGUAACCUGUCUUUUUAAUGAAUAUUAGUCACAACAAAAUGUGAUCAUUUAGAGCCUCAAGAUGAAGUGUAUUCAUAGCUAUCUGUAUAUUUUUAAAGAACAAAUAAAGCCCAACAUGCCAUUGCCAAUAGCAGAUGUGAUUCAAAAAGCUUGAAAAAUAGCAUAUCAUAAAAAUGUGCUUUUUAGUUUGCAGCAUUUUUUCCUGAAUGCCAUGGAUUGAGGUCUCCCAGGAAACAGACUCUGUAUAGAGAUGUGAAUGCAGGAGAUUUAUCAGGACAUGCUGUCUCAGGGUCAACACCAAUUUGGCAGUGUGUGAGAGGAAGGAGUAGGAAUUGGGAGAGCUAUAGAUUAGGCUGUGAUAUAGUCACAGUAAGACCUUGGGCAACCCUGAAGCAACCCUGAAGCUGGAUUGGCUGUGGAGAGUAGUUCUGGGUAUGGUGAGGGCAUUGUGCCUUCAUACUCCCAUGUCACAAGCACUGGCUGUGACCUGCUCAGUGAAAGGGUGUUGGUAUCUUCAACCAAAGCAUUUCCCCAAAAGGAUCGAGAGCCUUCUGCUUACAAUCUUCCCAGCAGCCAGAGGAAGGAAUCCUUUAGUACUGAAAGGAGAUCUGGGUGGAACAGCACAGCAUCUCUGACACUAACUGACUUCUUCAAAUAUUUCUUUUCUUUUUUUUUUUUUUUUUUUUUUUUGAGACAGAGUCUCGCUAUGUCACCCAGGCUGGAGUGCAGUGGCCCAAUCUUGGUCACUGCAGCCUCUGCCUCCCAGGUUCAAGUGGUUCUCCUGCCUCACCUCCUGAGUAGCUGAGUAGACAGGCAUAUGCCACCACACCUGGCUAAUUUUUGUGUUUUUAGUAGAGAUGAGGUUUCACCAUAUUGGACAGGCUGGUCUCGAACUCCUGACCUCGUGAUCCACCCGCCUCAGCUAUGUGCCGUAUAAACUACCAUUAUCGAAGGCGUUCAAAACUUAUAUGACCAAUUCCUUCCUCCAAGAGCUUGAGAGCAGGCUGAGCACUGUCGUGCACACCUGCAGUCCCAGCACUUUGGGAGGCUGAGGCAGGU